UACGUAGGGCGCAAGCGUUGUCCGGAAUUAUUGGGCGUAAAGAGCUCGUAGGCGGCCUGUUGCGUCCGCUGUGAAAUCCCGGGGCUCAACCCCGGGCGUGCAGUGGAUACGGGCUGGCUGGAGGCAGGCAGGGGAGAACGGAAUUCCUGGUGUAGCGGUGAAAUGCGCAGAUAUCAGGAGGAACACCGGUGGCGAAGGCGGUUCUCUGGGCCUGUACUGACGCUGAGGAGCGAAAGCGUGGGGAUCAAACAGC
Molecule: ribosomal RNA, 253 nt
Filed under: uncultured bacterium
Lineage: Bacteria
Description: partial 16S ribosomal RNA
Rfam family: Bacterial small subunit ribosomal RNA
Source: RNAcentral